Molecule: long non-coding RNA, 738 nt
Organism: Solea senegalensis (Senegalese sole)
Lineage: Eukaryota; Metazoa; Chordata; Actinopteri; Pleuronectiformes; Soleidae
Exons: 2
Source: RefSeq, a predicted model, not a curated record
AGUGGGGAGAGGGGGGGCGAACACGCCCCUCUGUCCCGCCCAUUGGUUCGCCGGGGGAGCUUAAGGUCCAGGGGCUCGUCCACGGACAGCAUGACCACAACCCCGCUGACCUCCCACCUGCACAAACAUCCAAUCACAGAGGGUCAGAGCUGGGCCAGUGGGGGCCACUGUAGGAUUGCUUGCUUUUCAUAUAAACACAGAGGAAGUGCUGCGUUCUGCAAACCACAGGAGAUUCUCACACCUGAAAUAUUUCCCACAGGAAAAAGUCUCAAAUUCCACAAUUCCACUGGGAAUGUCUUCAAUCCAAUCCAGAUGGUCACCCUCACUUCCAGCACAGCUUCACUCUACACCGUUAGCCAGUGACUGGGCCGAGCACCAUGUCACGUCACCCGCUGCCCCAGCUCACCCCAAACCCCUACAGUGUGCACCUUCAGACACCAUGGACUUUUAAGACCCACCAGACCAGCAACCCCUACCCCAGCCCGCAGGCCUUAAAGUCCAGCUGCACUCACUCAGUCCACCUCCUCCCUCUGAACACACUGACCUCUGGACCCAGCCUGAGGGUUGUGAGCACGAUGGUUCAUCUAGCUGUCAUUUUGAGUUCUUCCACCACAGGACUGAACCAUCGUCACCGUGUUGUUACAUGCAUGCACAACCAAAACCCCUAGAUGAACCCUGUUUAUCAGAGCAAUCAUGUAAUUGCCCAAAUCUCCUAAAUAAAAACACUUUUUAAAGGCA